RNAcentral lists this transfer RNA (86 nucleotides) under Deltaproteobacteria bacterium. Its description in RNAcentral is "tRNA-Leu". It matches the Rfam family "tRNA". From Rfam's summary of the family: Transfer RNA (tRNA) molecules are approximately 80 nucleotides in length. Their secondary structure includes four short double-helical elements and three loops (D, anti-codon, and T loops). Lineage: Bacteria; Pseudomonadati; Myxococcota; Myxococcia. The record is from RNAcentral.
GCCCGGGUGGCGAAACCGGUAGACGCGGGCGACUUAAAAUCGCCUGGCCCACGGCCGUGCAGGUUCGACCCCUGCCCCGGGCACCC